RNAcentral lists this small nucleolar RNA (134 nucleotides) under Nannospalax galili (Upper Galilee mountains blind mole rat). Its description in RNAcentral is "Small nucleolar RNA SNORA42/SNORA80 family (ENSNGAG00000005860.1)". It matches the Rfam family "Small nucleolar RNA SNORA42/SNORA80 family". Rfam says of the family: The members of this family belong to the H/ACA class of snoRNAs that guide the sites of modification of uridines to pseudouridines. Lineage: Eukaryota; Metazoa; Chordata; Mammalia; Rodentia; Spalacidae. The record is from Rfam by way of RNAcentral.
GCAUGGGUUUGGAUUUAUGGCAGGCUUGUCACCCUGGGCCUCUCACAGUGCCCCACACUAGGGCAAACUGUGCCUCCGAACCAUUACCUGGCCUCUGCCUGUAGGCUGCUGGUACUGAAGCUGGUCACACCGUG